Molecule: ribosomal RNA, 464 nt
Filed under: uncultured bacterium
Lineage: Bacteria
Description: partial 16S ribosomal RNA
Rfam family: Bacterial small subunit ribosomal RNA
Source: RNAcentral
CUACGGGCCGCACCAGUCGAGGAUCUUUUGCAAUGCCCGAAAGGGUGACAAUGCGACGCCGCGUGUGCGAUGAAGGUUUUCGGAUCGUAAAGCACUGUCGACCGGGAUGAAUCUCAGGAGGCUGAAUAAGCCUUCAGGGUGACAGUACCGGUAGAGGAAGCCACGGCUAACUCCGUGCCAGCAGCCGCGGUAAUACGAGGUGGCAAGCGUUACUCGGAUUGGUUGGGUGUAAAGGGCAUGUAGGUGGUGAAUUAAGGCGAACGUGAAAUCCCUUGGCUUAACCAAGGAACUGCGUUCGAAACUGAUUUGCUUGAGCGAUGGAGAGGAAAGGGGAAUUCCCGGUGUAACAGUGAAAUGUGUAGAUAUCGGGAGGAACACCAGUGGCGAAGGCGCCUUUCUGGACAUCUGCUGACACUGAAAUGCGAGAGCUAGGGGAGCAAACAGGAUUAGAUACCCCCGUAGUC